UACGUAGGGGGCUAGCGUUGUCCGGAAUCAUUGGGCGUAAAGAGCGUGUAGGCGGCCCGGUAAGUCCGCUGUAAAAGUCAAAGGCUCAACCUUUGAAUGUCAGUGGAUACUGCCGGGCUAGAGUCCGGAAGAGGCGAGUGGAACUCCUGGUGUAGCGGUGGAAUGCGCAGAUAUCAGGAAGAACACCAACGGCGAAGGCAGCUCGCUGGGACGGUACUGACGCUGAGACGCGAAAGCGUGGGGAGCGGACAGG
This 253-nucleotide ribosomal RNA is filed under the name uncultured bacterium. RNAcentral describes it as "partial 16S ribosomal RNA". It matches the Rfam family "Bacterial small subunit ribosomal RNA", at positions 524 to 776 of the family's 1533-position model. The record is from RNAcentral.